RNAcentral lists this ribosomal RNA (259 nucleotides) under uncultured bacterium. Its description in RNAcentral is "partial 16S ribosomal RNA". It matches the Rfam family "Bacterial small subunit ribosomal RNA", at positions 793 to 1055 of the family's 1533-position model. The record is from RNAcentral.
GUCCUUGCCGUAAACGAUGUAUACUUGAUGUAAUUGGGCUCAACCCUGAUUGUGUCGUAGCUAACGCGAUAAGUAUACCGCCUGAGGAGUACGCUCGCAAGGUGAACUCAAAGAAUUGACGGGGCCCGCACAAGCAGUGGAGCAUGUGGUUUAAUUCGAUGCAACGCGAAGAACCUUACCCAGGCUCGAAAUGUAGAGGACAACACCAGAAAUGGUGCUUUCCGUAAGGACUUCUAUAUAGGUGCUGCAUGGCUGUCGU